GAUUUAUAAAGAAGUGGUAAGAGAUCAGGCUCUGAGACCCACUGGCAACCUUCCAGCAAAAACGGAAAAGGUGCCAAAUCCUGCCCCGAAAGGGAAAUAUAAAUA
RNAcentral lists this non-coding RNA (105 nucleotides) under Pseudopedobacter saltans. Its description in RNAcentral is "SAM-I sequence". It matches the Rfam family "SAM riboswitch aptamer (S box leader)". Rfam says of the family: The SAM riboswitch is found upstream of a number of genes which code for proteins involved in methionine or cysteine biosynthesis in Gram-positive bacteria. RNAcentral also lists the same sequence under 1 other name. The record is from RNAcentral. Lineage: Bacteria; Pseudomonadati; Bacteroidota; Sphingobacteriia; Sphingobacteriales; Sphingobacteriaceae.